RNAcentral lists this unclassified non-coding RNA (236 nucleotides) under uncultured fungus. RNAcentral's name for it is "sequence contains ITS2". The stretch from base 1 to 52 matches the Rfam family "5.8S ribosomal RNA", at positions 103 to 154 of the family's 154-position model. Lineage: Eukaryota; Fungi. The record is from RNAcentral.
AACGCACAUUGCGCCCCUUGGUAUUCCGAGGGGCAUGCCUGUUCGAGCGUCAUUAUGACCACUCAAGCCUAGCUUGGUAUUGGGGUUCGCGGUCUCGCGGCCUCUAAAAUCAGUGGCGGUGCCGUCUGGCUCUAAGCGUAGUAAUUUUCUCGCUAUGGGGUCCGGAUAGUUGCUUGCCUAAACCUCAACUUCUCACGGUUGACCUCGGAUCAGGUAGGGAUACCCGCUGAACUUAA